AACGUAGGAGACAAACGUUAUCCGGAGUUACUGGGCGUAAAGGGCGUGUAGGUGGUUGUGUAAGUCUGGCGUGAAAUUUUUCGGCUUAACCGGGAAAGGUCGUCGGAUACUGCACAACUAGAGGACGGUAGAGGCGUGUGGAAUUCCGGGUGUAGUGGUGAAAUGCGUAGAGAUGUGGAGGAACACCUGUGGCGAAGGCGCCUUGCUGGCCGAUUUCUGACGCUGAGGCGCGAAAGCGUGGGGAGCAAACAGG
RNAcentral lists this ribosomal RNA (253 nucleotides) under uncultured bacterium. RNAcentral describes it as "partial 16S ribosomal RNA". It matches the Rfam family "Bacterial small subunit ribosomal RNA", at positions 524 to 776 of the family's 1533-position model. The record is from RNAcentral.